GAUGAACGCUGGCGGCGUGCUUAAUACAUGCAAGUCGAACGGAGAUUGUAGCAAUACAUUCUUAGUGGCGAACGGGUGAGUAACGCGUUGGUAACCUGCCCCGAAGAGGGGAAUAACUGCUGGAAACGGUAGCUAAUACCCCAUGUGCUCGGCGGUUCGGUCUGUCGAGUAAAGUCCCGGCGCUUUGGGAGGGGCCUGCGGCCCAUCAGGUAGUUGGUAGGGUAACGGCCUACCAAGCCGAUGACGGGUAGGGGGCGUGAGAGCGUGAACCCCCACACUGGCACUGAGAUACGGGCCAGACUCCUACGGGAGGCAG
This 316-nucleotide ribosomal RNA is filed under the name uncultured bacterium. RNAcentral describes it as "bacterial SSU rRNA". It matches the Rfam family "Bacterial small subunit ribosomal RNA", at positions 28 to 351 of the family's 1533-position model. The record is from RNAcentral.